AGAGUUUGAUCAUGGCUCAGAUUGAACGCUGGCGGCAGGCCUAACACAUGCAAGUCGAGCGGCAGCACGGGUACUUGUACCUGGUGGCGAGCGGCGGACGGGUGAGUAAUGCCUAGGAAUCUGCCUGGUAGUGGGGGAUAACGUUCGGAAACGAACGCUAAUACCGCAUACGUCCUACGGGAGAAAGCAGGGGACCUUCGGGCCUUGCGCUAUCAGAUGAGCCUAGGUCGGAUUAGCUAGUUGGUGAGGUAAUGGCUCACCAAGGCGACGAUCCGUAACUGGUCUGAGAGGAUGAUCAGUCACACUGGAACUGAGACACGGUCCAGACUCCUACGGGAGGCAGCAGUGGGGAAUAUUGGACAAUGGGCGAAAGCCUGAUCCAGCCAUGCCGCGUGUGUGAAGAAGGUCUUCGGAUUGUAAAGCACUUUAAGUUGGGAGGAAGGGCAUUUACCUAAUACGUAAGUGUUUUGACGUUACCGACAGAAUAAGCACCGGCUAACUCUGUGCCAGCAGCCGCGGUAAUACAGAGGGUGCAAGCGUUAAUCGGAAUUACUGGGCGUAAAGCGCGCGUAGGUGGUUCGUUAAGUUGGAUGUGAAAUCCCCGGGCUCAACCUGGGAACUGCAUCCAAAACUGGCGAGCUAGAGUAUGGUAGAGGGUGGUGGAAUUUCCUGUGUAGCGGUGAAAUGCGUAGAUAUAGGAAGGAACACCAGUGGCGAAGGCGACCACCUGGACUGAUACUGACACUGAGGUGCGAAAGCGUGGGGAGCAAACAGGAUUAGAUACCCUAGUAGUCC
RNAcentral lists this ribosomal RNA (795 nucleotides) under uncultured bacterium. RNAcentral describes it as "bacterial SSU rRNA". It matches the Rfam family "Bacterial small subunit ribosomal RNA", at positions 8 to 796 of the family's 1533-position model. The record is from RNAcentral.